Molecule: ribosomal RNA, 250 nt
Filed under: uncultured archaeon
Lineage: Archaea
Description: partial 16S ribosomal RNA
Rfam family: Archaeal small subunit ribosomal RNA
Source: RNAcentral
CCCCAGCGCCACAAGUGGGAACCACGCUUAUUGGGUCUAAAGCAUCCGUAGCCGGUUUGACAAAUGCCCUGUGAAAUCGUUGCGCUUAACGUAACGGCGUGCAGGGUAGACUAUCAAACUUGGGACCAGGGGAGGAAGACGGUAUUCUUGAGGGAGCGGUAAAAUGUGAUAAUCUCAAGAGGACCACCGAUGGCGAAGGCAGUCUUCCAAAAUGGAUCCGACGGUGAGGGAUGAAAGCUAGGGGAGCGAU